Molecule: ribosomal RNA, 809 nt
Filed under: uncultured Bacteroidota bacterium
Lineage: Bacteria; Pseudomonadati; Bacteroidota
Description: bacterial SSU rRNA
Rfam family: Bacterial small subunit ribosomal RNA
Source: RNAcentral
GAUGAACGCUAGCGGCAGGCCUAAUACAUGCAAGUCGAACGGUAAGUUGAGUAGCAAUACUUGACCUAGAGUGACGUAAGGGUGCGUAACACGUAUGCAAUCUGCCCUCAACUGGAGGAUAGCUCCCCGAAAGGGGAAUUAACACUCCGUAAUAUAUCUGGGAGGCAUCUUUUGGAUAUUAAAACUCCGGUGGUUGAGGAUGAGCAUGCGUCUGAUUAGCUAGUUGGUAGUGUAAUGGACUACCAAGGCGAUGAUCAGUAGGGGAACUGAGAGGUUGAUCCCCCACACUGGCACUGAGAUACGGGCCAGACUCCUACGGGAGGCAGCAGUAGGGAAUAUUGGACAAUGGGUGCAAGCCUGAUCCAGCCAUGCCGCGUGCAGGAAGAAGGCCUUCUGGGUUGUAAACUGCUUUUGCCAGGGGAUAAAAAGCCCAUGCGUGGGAAAUUGAAGGUACCUGGUGAAUAAGCCACGGCUAACUACGUGCCAGCAGCCGCGGUAAUACGUAGGUGGCAAGCGUUGUCCGGAUUUAUUGGGUUUAAAGGGUGCGUAGGCGGCCCUGUAAGUCAGUGCUGAAAUAUCCCGGCUUAACCGGGAGGGUGGCAUUGAUACUGCGGGGCUUGAGUAAAGUUGAGGUUGGCGGAAUUGACGGUGUAGCGGUGAAAUGCUUAGAUAUCGUCAAGAACACCUAUUGCGUAGGCAGCUAACUAAGCUUUAACUGACGCUGAGGCACGAAAGUGUGGGGAUCAAACAGGAUUAGAUACCCUGGUAGUCCACACUGUAAACGAUGAUUACUCGCUGCUAGAGGGUAA